This is a long non-coding RNA of Ornithodoros turicata, 223 nucleotides long. RefSeq lists it as uncharacterized. The transcript has 3 exons. The record is from RefSeq and is a predicted model, not a curated record. NCBI's taxonomy places the organism in Eukaryota, Metazoa, Arthropoda, Arachnida, Ixodida, Argasidae.
UCCCUACAGUCAUCAGCAGCAUGCGCAUGGUCCCGUGAAGAAGAGUCUCGUUCACCCGUUCGAUCGCUCACUCCUGUCCUUGCCUUGCUGUUAGCUCUCACUGCCUCGUAACAUCAUAACAUCAUUAUGGCGGAAAGUGAAAUGAGCGCCGUGAGUGGCAUGAGCUCCAUGUCUGGGAUGUCAGGGAUGUCGACAGACAACGCAGCACAGGACAAAGGCGGUA